Xenia sp. Carnegie-2017 is the source of this 866-nucleotide long non-coding RNA. RefSeq lists it as uncharacterized. Lineage: Eukaryota; Metazoa; Cnidaria; Anthozoa; Malacalcyonacea; Xeniidae. The transcript has 2 exons. The record is from RefSeq and is a predicted model, not a curated record.
AAUGCCCCGAGAGCUCCUUAAAUGUACAACGUCCUCUUGUCCAGUUUGUUUGUAACUCCCGACUUUCUUUGUAUAUCGUCUUCCAGUGUUUACUAUUUGUAAGAGGAACGCCGACCUGAUCGAUUUUUGGUUUAUUACUUACAAUAUAAGAAAUUUCACAAGAAUUUGGACUGAAUUUAGAAACCAUCAACAUCAUUUCAUCCAUCUGUAUCCAUCAUUUACCAUCCUGAUGGUAUAAAUAUGUUUUGCAUCUAAAUUAUAUUACAUGCUACUUGAAUACCUGACUUGCUAGACCCAGUUCCUCAACAGUAAGAUGAGAGAGAAUCUGACGAGAUAAAUGACGUGGAAGGAGCGAGAUGAAGUCUUUGUACUGCCUUACCUGAAAAGAAACAUACCUUUUUUUUUCUUGAAUUGCUUAAUCAAUAGAUAAAAGCCAUCAUGCUUACAGUCAUCAAUCCUGAGAUGUAGAUAAGCUCGACUGGCUCCAAAACUUCAAGAAAUAUGCGGAGAAACUCGUUUUUUUCCCACACUUAGAGAAAAAAGAUGAAAUUACCUGACUUAUUGUUUAAAUUAACCUAUUUUCCUAUCAGUAAAACUGACUGAAUCACCAUUGCGUGAUUGCAAAGAUAACUACUAUUCUUCUAUAUUGAAUAAGUUUCUACAAAUGAACUUUUUCCUCUUUGUAAUUAAAAAUUUAACUUUUUAGCUUGAUAACAUCUGUAAAUUUAAAAAAUUUUCGAACAUAAUGUAUUUAAAGUGUUUUCAUAGAGUAUAAUAUCAAACGUUAAUAUCAAAAGAACAGUUUUUGUUUUGUAAUCAAGUUAUUUCGGGGAAUUGACGAAGUAAUAAAAGAAAAUGAAUCAAAA